GACGAACGCUGGCGGCGUGCUUAACACAUGCAAGUCGAACGCUGAAGCUCAGCUUUUGUUGGGUGGAUGAGUGGCGAACGGGUGAGUAACACGUGAGUAACCUGCCUCCUUCUUUGGGAUAACGCCCGGAAACGGGUGCUAAUACUGGAUAUUCACUGGCCUUCGCAUGGGGGUUGGUGGAAAGGGUUUUUCUGGUGGGGGAUGGGCUCGCGGCCUAUCAGCUUGUUGGUGGGGUGAUGGCCUACCAAGGCUUUGACGGGUGGCCGGACUGGGAGGGUGACCGGUCAGGUGGGGAGUGAGAUAGGGCCCGGACUCCGGCGGGAGGCAGCAGGGGAGAAAAUUGCGCAAUGGGUGCAAGCAUGGUGCAGCGACGGCGCGUGAAGGGUGGAGGCCGUCGGGUUGUGAACCUCUUUGGCCCAUGGUCAAGCCGCAACAAUGGUUGUAGUGAGGGUAGUGGGUAAAGAAGCGCCGGCUAACUACGUG
Molecule: ribosomal RNA, 483 nt
Filed under: uncultured bacterium
Lineage: Bacteria
Description: partial 16S ribosomal RNA
Rfam family: Bacterial small subunit ribosomal RNA
Source: RNAcentral